This 481-nucleotide ribosomal RNA is filed under the name uncultured bacterium. Its description in RNAcentral is "partial 16S ribosomal RNA". It matches the Rfam family "Bacterial small subunit ribosomal RNA", at positions 28 to 523 of the family's 1533-position model. The record is from RNAcentral.
GACGAACGCUGGCGGCGUGCUUAACACAUGCAGGUCGGGCGGAAAGGCCACUUCGGUGGUACUCGAGCGGCGAACGGGUGAGUAACACGUGAGUAAUCUGCCCCUGGCUUUGGGAUAGCCACCGGAAACGGUGAUUAAUACCGGAUACGACCACUUCUCGCAUGGGAUGGUGGUGGAAAGUUUUUUCGGCCAGGGAUGUGCUCGCGGCCUAUCAGCUUGAUGGUGAGGUAAUGGCUCACCAUGGCUUCGACGGGUAGCCGGCCUGAGAGGGUGACCGGUCACACUGGGACUGAGACACGGCCCAGACUCCUACGGGAGGCAGCAGUGGGGAAUAUUGGACAAUGGGCGGAAGCCUGAUCCAGCAACGCCGCGUGAGGGAUGACGGCCUUCGGGUUGUAAACCUCUUUCAGCAGGGACGAAGCGCAAGUGACGGUACCUGCAGAAGAAGCACCGGCCAACUACGUGCCAGCAGCCGCAGUAA